GAGUUUGAUCAUGGCUCAGGAUGAACGCUAGCGGCAGGCCUAACACAUGCAAGUCGUACGGUAACAGGGAAAAGCUUGCUUUUCCGCUGACGAGUGGCGCACGGGUGCGCAACGCGUAUAGAACCUACCCUGUACAGGGGUUAUAAAUCAUGGAAACGUGGAUUAAUACCCCGUGGAGACAUUGAUUGGCAUCGAUUGAUGUUUAAAGUUUCGGCGGUACGGGAUGGCUAUGCGUCCCAUUAGUUAGUAGGUGAGGUAACGGCUCACCUAGGCGAUGAUGGGUAGGGGCCCUGAGAGGGGGAUCCCCCACACUGGUACUGAGACACGGACCAGACUCCUACGGGAGGCAGCAGUGAGGAAUAUUGGACAAUGGGCGGAAGCCUGAUCCAGCCAUGCCGCGUGCAGGAAGACAGCCCUACGGGUUGUAAACUGCUUUUAUACGGGAAGAAUAAGGGGUACGUGUACCCCGAUGACGGUACCGUAAGAAUAAGGACCGGCUAACUCCGUGCCAGCAGCCGCGGUAAUACGGAGGGUCCAAGCGUUAUCCGGAAUCAUUGGGUUUAAAGGGUCCGCAGGCGGGCAAUUAAGUCAGGGGUGAAAUGGUGCGGCUCAACCGUAGCACUGCCCUUGAUACUGGUUGUCUUGAGUUAUGGUGAAGUGGCCCGGAAUAUGUAGUGUAGCGGUGAAAUGCAUAGAUAUUACAUAGAACACCGAUCGCGAAGGCAGUCACUAACCAUUACUGACGCUGAUGACGAAGCGUGGGGGAGCGAAACGGGAUUAGAUACCCCGGUUAGUCCCACCGCCCGUAAAAC
RNAcentral lists this ribosomal RNA (812 nucleotides) under uncultured Flavobacterium sp. RNAcentral's name for it is "bacterial SSU rRNA". It matches the Rfam family "Bacterial small subunit ribosomal RNA", at positions 9 to 808 of the family's 1533-position model. Lineage: Bacteria; Pseudomonadati; Bacteroidota; Flavobacteriia; Flavobacteriales; Flavobacteriaceae. The record is from RNAcentral.